Molecule: long non-coding RNA, 17900 nt
Filed under: Nicotiana tabacum (common tobacco)
Lineage: Eukaryota; Viridiplantae; Streptophyta; Magnoliopsida; Solanales; Solanaceae
Description: long non-coding RNA (NTAB_LNC006674)
Source: RNAcentral
AUCAAACACAUGUAGUACUGGAUCAUGCCAAAAUGAAGAAAACUUUUAGACAUACCUUAAACUUGUUGAGUCCUUAAUAUCUUCCAAGCAACUCUUCAAACAACUCAACUCAGUCUACCAUAGAAUAAGGAGAUUCAAAUUCAAUACUGAGUAAAGGCUAAGUAUGUAACUUAAGCUAGUAGCUCGUUUUAUGUAAAUUUGGGUAGCAUAUCCAUUGUAACAAGGGCCUCCUCCAAUGCCAUAUACUAACAACAAAAACCAUAGCAAUGCAAUAAGAACAACAUCAACAGUAGGGUACAAAAUAUUUCAUUAACAAGUCGUCAACAUAUCACGACGAGCGGCAACCUCGGAUUGAAUCCCUUCAUCACCCUUCAACCCCAUUAUCACUCCUUAUAGACUUCUUACAUUAACUUAACAUCAUCAUUAAAAUGAUAAUGAAUCCAUUCAUCAUUGAUUCCAUCCUUAUACUAUAUAUUUAUAACAAAGAAAACAAUUCACAACUCCAACUAUCUUCAAUUAGCAACUUUAUUCACUAGUUCAUGUCUAGUACAUCCAUUUAACUUAAUCAACAUCAAUAUAACCUUAAGUACAUGCAAGAAAACAAUAAAAAUACCUCCUAUAGUAGCUUCAAGUCGUAAUCUAAGUUAUAUUUAGCUUACAACAUCCCUCAAUGACAAUACGACACUAUAGAAGUGACUUAAGCUACUCCAAGUAUUAUCUUGUAGUUUAUCAUCCUAACAACAUAACUAGCAUAUAAGAAAGCUUAAGAACAAUAAGUAGUCUAUUAUAAUCACCUUAUCUAGUAGCAAAAACUUGAAAUUUUAGCCAAACACAUCCCACAACUAUCCUCAAUGACAACGCAACCUCAAAAAGGUGUUGUUCUUCACUAGAACUAACUUUUGAUGUUGAAAUAUGGUGUAAUCCAUUUGCAAGACUUGAAAUAAUAUAGGUUUGAUAUGAAAACCUUUGGAGAGUAUUUUAAAGAACUUAAACCACUUAAAAAACCUCCCACAUGAGCUGGAACCACCCAAAAAUCAGCAAUAAUAAGAGGAACAAGCAACUUACUAGUGCGAGGGGAUUUUCGACACUUGAUUUGUGUUGUUUGCCCUUUGUUUGGGUCUUGGUUCAUGAGAGAACCUUGAGAGAGUGUUUUUAGGUAUAUAGAGUCUGAAGAUACUCAAAAAUAAUGAGUUAAACCGGGGUUGAGGUGUCUUAUAUAUAUCAAUAUAUCUCAACCGCCAUUGUGGGUCCUAUAGAGAGUUGCUUGGCGUAGUCUCGCAAAAAUGCGAAUAUCUCUCUACUUCAAUGUCAUAUAGACAAACGGUUUAAUGAGUUAGAAACUAGACUCAUAGAUAUUCAAUUUUGUAGGUAGAUCACCCCAUAAUUUGAAGUAAAUUGAGAGAACAACACAUCUAAAUUUCAGCACAUUUAUGAAUGUAACUUUACCAACUUUUGUUUCACAACUUGCUUGACUUAAAAACAUAACACACGACUAUCAUACGAAUAAAAUAAAUCAUAACAUAACCUCCUUAUCUUGCUAAUCACCCAGUCACAUCACAAAAGUAUACGUUAUAACAUUCCCAACUUGUCGACAUUUGACGAAACUUAUUUUCUUCUAUUUGUUUAGCUUCUUAUCCUUUCAACCCUCAUGGUACUUGUUAUCCAUGAUCUUAAAGAUUUGUAAUCUCCAAGGUAACAUGAUUAACUUACUUUGUAUACUCUCAAAGAUGAUCUCAUUUUUGAGCUUACAUCAAUUGACUUACGAAUACUCUUUUGUAUGAAGGUAUAAGAUGUAACAUGAUUCCCUCCUUUGGAACAUUCGUCCUCAAAUAUUGACUGAUGUGCUUAUCAGUCUCAUAACCUAUAGCUCUUGCAAAUACUUUACUCCUGCCCUUUCCACCUAGGCAAUUGUUCAGUGAAUUAAUCCAAAGGCCAGAACAUUCCCCCCCUUUAGGAAUCUUUCUCACACCAUGACUUGCGGUUGGAAUUAUUCCAAUCUCGUAACUGUUGCUAUCUUAUGUCAUGCAGCAUGUAUGACAUUGUCCUUAUGUGCGCCUAUGUGACUCUUCUCUCAUUUUUCCUUCAGCUUGUAGCCAAUCUCUAGGCCUUACUUUGUGAACAUAUACAAAAUUAUGACAAGCUUUCUCUCUGGGAAUCUAUAGGUGUACUAAAGUUUUUUACUCAGGUACUGUCAAACUUACGACUAUUGCUAUAUCUUGUUUCAUAGCCUUGGUUAGUUAUGCUUAUGGCUUUACUAUGUAUAUGUAGUUUAUACUAUACCACAACACUUACUUUGAUUUAUUAUGGCCAAGGUCUACUAUCCAACUCCAGGUUACUCUCUCGUUGUUUAUCUUAUAUGUAUAAAUUAAGUCCCUUAAUGCUUCCUCAUUACUAUUCAUCUUAAGAAUGACAGCCUAAUCUCAUCUCACACUUUGGAACAUUCAUCCAUCCAUUAUUGAUUCACCUUAAUAUUGAUCUAUAAUCUACCGCUGAUCACUUGAAACCUCUCAUGUAAUAUAUUGUCACUAGGGCUCACAUCUCAUUUGGGAACAUCUGGAGUUAUUUGCCUAGUCCACUUAGGGUUAAUAAUAUACUUCAAUAAUUGUAUUUCAUAGCAUCCCAACGUAAUUCAUAUUAUGGGGGUAUUUUAAUCUUGUACAAUUUAUGAAAUCCCUUUUCUUUGAAUCAUUACCCAAUCAAAGGCAUAAACGUCAUCCUCUUAUCUAUCACAAUUACACCCUUAUUUUACCACUAGGGCAUCAUUCCAUCUCUUCUAAAUUCUCCUAUUCUUAAACUCCUCUGAGUACAAUCAUGUUAUACUGAGCUUUUUAUAACUUAGGAAACCAUCAGCUCUCUUGUUGUGAUGGGUUUAAUCCCGAUGACUUACCUAUUCUCGUCACCUUCUCACUAACUUUUUCUUAUCCUUACUCCUGUCUACCUAAAACUUUGUUGCUCUACCAUACUUUAGCUUGCGACCUACAUAUAUCUAUUUAUACUAGUCGCAACCUUCCUUUAAUUUGCUAGCGCCAUAGAUUUCCUUAUGUUAUUCUGGAACCUCGAGCAAAACAUCAUAUCGUCUCUAACUCUUCUGUACUCUCUUAACUAGACCUCUCUGUACCUGGAAACCAUAGGCUGGAAGAUACGCCACUGACGACAACACUAUUAUUUCUUGAUACAGAAAUACGACGCUUCCAGCCCUCUAUCUGAUAUUUGGAUUAUUCGUAGCCUUCUGUACUUGGGCAUCUCUUACCUUCUUCACUUAUACCUUACUUACCUUUAAAUCUUGCAUCAUAUCUCCUAUCUCUUUCAUAACCUCCCUUCCAUAUAGGUGGAAUUCACAUCCAUACCUUAAAGCUCUACUAUAAUACUUGCACAUCAUGUGCAUACACAAUCAGGCGAAGGCUUCAUACUAACUUCUUAUGAGGUUGUUACUGUUCUAACUAGAUUUAUCGUAGAGCCAUUAUAGAAUAUGGUUGUUGCACUAUCUCUUUUGUACCUCUGAUAUUUAGAGUGAUGCUACAAUGUUCUGAAUCAUGAUUUCUAUACUCAUCGGGAUUUAAUAAUCAGACUUCUAAUUCACUUAGCUGGUGUAACUCUUUAGUUUCCUCUUAUAUCUCAGCCUUUAAAUAGGCUUACUUUAUCUUCUGAUCUGCGGCUUGGGGUAUUAGUUAUUACUUUAUCCCCUCGUGGGUUCUAUGGAACAUCCAUGAUAUAACUUUCUAGCAAUUCAAGCUUUUGUCUGUGACGUGGACUCAAUUAUUUCUUUUAACUUAUACUGCAGUAUCCUAUGGUUGUUCAUUAUCAACAUAUAUGUUGCAUGGAUAACACUCUAAAAUCUUAAGUGUGUUUAUAACGUAACUAACUCUGGGUCAUAGAUCGAAUAAUUCCUUUCGUGCCUUCUCAGCUUUCGUUAAAAGUAGGCAAUUACUUUUCUUGGUCGUUCUGCCACUUGUUGCAUGAAUACUUGGCUUAUCUUAGUGCCCAGAUAUAUUGCAGUGAGAUGUUGUAGUGAAUAUAGGUAUAUUGCAGUAAUAUUACUUUGGAUUUUACUUCCCGUUCCUUAGUCACAAUAGGUACCACUUUCUUAUAGAGUGCAUACGAUGUUGCAGUGAGACUAUUGUUACAAGACGAUUAUUUAUUUAGGUCACUAUGAUUAGUUUGAAGCCUUCUUCCUUAUUUCUUCAUCUAGUCUUUCAUUGUAGCAUUUAAGGAAGAUUCUCUUACUCUUGUAAAGCUGUGAGCUUAUCCCAUCAUAUACCUAAUGGAAUUUUUGAUGUUCUUACUCACCUAUAAAUAUUCUUAGUUACAUACCUUCGUGCCCUUGUUCUCGUAGGGUUAUUUAUGAACUCAGAUUUUUUUGUCUCCCCCGUGGCACUCUCUUUUGUUUCUGUAACACUUUUAUGGAAACUAUUACUACCUCAACUCCUACCUAAAUAUUUCUCAAGGAUUACGAUGUUGUAUCUACGAAACUGAAUUCCCUAUGCUGGGGUUCACUAGGUUUAUCUUGCAUGAUCUACUAAUUUAUAUGUAUCCUCUUGUCUAGCCAUAACUAGGCUCUUCCUGAAUCAACUACUAACUAAUCGUUGGUCCAUUCUCAUACCUAUAUUCUGCGUAAUCUCUCUUGGGUUGUUUCCUUUGUCUUAACUUACCUCUCGCACUGGACCCUUAUGUAUCAAGUGUUCAUUCGCACUUAUUUAUCAAUAGCAUCAUGGGAGGGAACCCUUACUGCAUUUCCCAACCAUCAUGCUUGUAUAAUGUUUUGGAGUCAUAACAUAUAUGUACGAUCUGAAUAAAUACAAUCUCACCCAUUUCGUCUUUUAUCGCAUUCUUCCUUUACUAGUCUAUAGUUACUUCCUCAUCUUUGACAUCUUUUCACAUCUUCACUGACUCUUACUCGCCUUGCGGUAACCCUUCUAUACCGGGGAUAACUUAAUUUCUUAUGUGCGAGGGUGACACCUAGUAUAACUGGCACAUUUAGUCCCUUAAGCAUAACUCUGCUCACAUUGCUUGCUUUAGGGAAGCGUCUUCCUGAAUGACCUUUAAAGGUUAUUCUUCCGUUGUCCAUUCUAUCAUUUACGGAACACGAUUUCUGAAAUUCUGAUGAUACUGACUAUUAUAGAAUCCUUUGGUCCCUAAAUCAUGUUCGAUUUUCUUUCUUGUUUACUAGCCUAUGUUGAUUUCUAUUACUCCGGGGGGUCUAACUUAGCCUUCUGGUAAUUACGUUGGAGUCACCAACUCAUUUUCUCAAAAUGAGGAUAUGACUUUAUGGUUUAUACUCUUUUAUAGUCUCAAGGCAUGUCAGCUCUUGUCUUUUCCUUUACCUGACUAUAGACUAUUGUCACACCUCCUUUUGCUUACCCCCCGGAAGAGUGUAUAUAAGAGAGCUUUUCCAAUUAAAGGACAAUCGAAAUGAGAUUUAUUUAUUUAAAGAUUCAGAGUCGCCACUAGGGAGAUUUAUGGUGUCCAAAGUCACCGGUUCAAAUCCCGAAUCGAGGAAAAGGAUUGACUCUGUUUAACAGUUCGCGAACCAGAAAUCCGAGUAAGGAAUUUUGUUAACCCGGGAGAAGGUGUUAGGCACUCCCGAGUUCCGUGGUUCUAGCACGGUCGCUUUGAUUAUACUUGGCUUACUAAAUUGUCUAAUUACUUAUUUUUAAACCUAUGUGCAUCUACCCCGUUAACCGUUUUUAUUUGCUUAAUUACUAUUAAUUAUGGAAUUAUCUUUAAAAAAUGAGUCACGCGUACGUGUACUCAUUUCAUUUGGCGCGUCAAAAAUUGUGUCACACGUACAUAUCCACAAUUAAUCACGCCUUAUUAUUAAUAAGAUUGUUUCACCCAAAAUUGCGCGAACACAUACCUUGGUUUUAAUUUCUGGAAUCGUAACUAUGUCACGCGAACGUGUACACAACCACGAUAAUUUAUUAAUUAGAUUAGUGCCUAAAGCAUACUACUGUGCUCUUCAGCACAUUAGGUUAUUUAUGAGUGUUUAACCCACUUUUAGUGAUAAAACUAGCUACAUGGCAACUGCAACUUAGGAAUAUACUCAUAUGAGCCUUACAAGAAUGUGGUCAACUCUUUUAAAACUUCAAGCAUGAAAAAUCAGUACCAAUAUCAACAUUAACUUCACCUUAAUUUAACACUUAAACUAGAUAUCACUCUGCCUCAGAUCAAUCAUCGCAAGGCAUAUGUUUGCAAAGCAUAACGUAGUUACACAUACAAGCACAUUAAAGUCUACAAUUAUUCAACAGAUGAAAGUAAAAGGCAAAUUCAUAAACAACAACCUAUAUUAGUAAAAAUAGUUACUGGAGUAACGUUCAUGUGUGUAUCAAAGUUCUAAUAACUCAAUAUAAAGAAGCAAAUAGCUAACAUUUCCUCAACAAAAACCCAAUUUUUUGGUUUGCAAAACUCGAAAAAAAAUGUGUAGUAGAUAAAACUAGUCAUUUACAAAGUAACACGUACCCUUUUUCUUUUCUUGGAGGGCGUGAUAGCAGAAUUGGCUCUACUGCUUCAGUAAUUAGUCUUUUUCAGCAAAAUACGAAAACAACGAGAUUCUAGCAAGGACCACGAACGCGAUUUUGACCGGAGAACCUCGACCACAAACUCGACAAUAACCUCGACGGACCUGACACGGCGACCUGAACAGAUUCACUCGACAUGGAUUUGGGUAGCGAUUUCGAGCUGACUUUCGCACUGAUUUGGGUUAGUUUCAGGGAGUUUUGGAGCUAGGUUUACCUCUAGGUUCGAACCCGGUUCGCCGGAUUCUAUGGCAAGUCGUCGGAAUCACACAUUUCUGGUCAGAUUUGGUUUCGUCUAUAUGUGCGCCCUACUGUUUCUCGACAACAAAACGGGGAAGGUUCGUGGGUUGAUUUUUCUGGUUUUCAAUCGGGGGAGAGGAAGCAGCAAUGAUGGGUUCUUCGGCGCAGGUCUUUGGUCGUUUGGAGAAGACGAUGGGCAGGGGGGUCUCUUGUAAAGGCUGCGCUGAUUUUACUUUUUAGCUUUUUGUCCCUUUUUUGUUUUUAGCCUUCUACGUUCUUUUUUAUUUAUAUAGUCUAGGUUUUUGGUAGGGUUUUAGGUUAAGGGGUAUGAGCCUAGGAAUUGUGGGCUUGACAAUUGUGGGCUAUGUCCAAAAUUAGGCCUAAAGAUGGGUUGCUCGAGCCCAAGCUCUAUUCUUUCGUUGCGAAUGAGAUUAAAAUACGGGCCGAUUUGUUAAUUAUUCCUACUAUUCAAAUAAUUAUUAAAAUAAAACUAACCAUUAAAACAAAUCUAUUUUUGGUAUUUUCAAAUAUCAUAUUAAAAUAAAAAUACGAUACUAUUAUUGUAUAUAUUUUUUUAAGAUUUUUAUUUUUAGAUUAAAAAUGACUACAAAACAUUAAUGAACCUAUUUUGUGAUUUUUUGUUUUCUUGUAAUAAAAUAAAGUAAAAGAGUCAAAAUUACUUAAAAUAUCUAUAUUAUGCCUAAAUUAAAUAUUUUACGCCAAUAUAUAAAAAAUCUUGGGGAGGGUCAAAAAUCACAUGUCUACAGCUGCCCCUCUUUGACUGGAAACGUACAGAGUUUUCAGACAAAGACUGACUAGACAGGUUUUUUGACUCGACCCUUAUUUGGAGAGACUAAAACUGAAAAAGAGGGGAAUGUGACCAAGCUCUGGUAUUUGGACUGCCUACAUAUCCUUGGCUAUAAAGGAAUCAAGCCACGUGUAGUUCAGAGAUGAGUGGGAUGACGGAGUAUGCCGAGGUGGAGAUCCGGUCGAGGUGCCGUUCUGCCGAGAUUCCGGUCCGUGGUCCCUGUUAUUACAUCAAAAAUCAAAUGAAAAAAUACUAACUAAACCUUUCAACUACGAGUUACAAGGUUCCUAUCUAUAAGUCUUCUGAAGCUUGAUCUUGAGUCUUGAAUGGUUCUUCAUGCAGACUUUAGAUUUGAACCUUGGCGCUUGUUAGCUGCAGGUGCUAGCUCGUUCUUCUACAACUUUUGGAUCAAGACCGGACAUGUAGUGCUUGUGACUUCCACCAUGUCUUAAGCAGUUCACAUCUUUCAUCAACUUCUGCAUUUGGAUUCAUUUCUUGCCUUUCUCUCUUUUUCUUUAUUGUGACUAACUUCUGUUGAUAACCUCGGACUGUUAACUCACAUUCUUGCCACGAGAUUCUUUGGUUGCUGACUUGAAUUGCAAUCUGAGAUGUUUUUCCUUUUCUUCAGGUGGACGCCUGACUGUUGAACUCGAACCAUCUUCUCUUGUUACUUGACAUUGUUUUCCCUUGCACAUUGAACCAUUUCCCCUGAAACUUGAACUGUUUUCCUUCAAAACUGAUUUCCCUAGAAACUUGAGUUGUCUCCCCUUGUUCUCCAGGUGGGCGCCUGAUUACNNNNNNNNNNNAACGAAUCACAUUACCAAAUAUCAAUAAGAACUUUAAAACUAAAACUUGAAUUGUACUCCCUUGUUCUCCAGGCGGGCUCCUGACUGUUGAACUUGAAUGUAUUCCCUGCUCUCCAGGCAGGCUCCUGACUGCUGACUUGAAAUGUAUUCCCUACUCUCCAGGCGGGCUCCUGACUGCUGCGCUUGAAAGUACUCCCUACUCUUCAGGCGGGCUCCUGACUGCUGCAUUUGAAAGUAUUCCCUGCUCUCCAGGCGGGCUCCUGACUUCAACAAUAUAGACGAAAAACAAAGAAAAUUUUCUGCCCCAGUUUGGUGGCUGGGUACAGAUGUGAGUGUAAAACUAAAUCAUAUUACCAAGUAUUACUAAGAAUUUGAAAGCUUGGUCCCAUUAUCCAGGGGGUCCUGACAACUCUUAAUUAAAUGACAAUUUUAAAUCUAAUUUAUGUCUUCUAAAGGUGUAACUUCUGCUAAACCUUGUUAUCUAAGAGGGUCUUUAAACUACUCCCCAUUAUCCAAGAGGGUCUUGAAAAUCAAAAGUCCAAUUUUAUCUUAAGAGUGAUAACUUUUACGGCUGAAUUAUGCUACCCUACAACAUACUUUACGCUAAAUGUUGUUAUCUAAUCGAAAUCUUAAAGUUAGGUCCCAUUAUUCAGGAGGGUCCUGAAAACUCAUAAUUGCGUCCUAUCUCAAACAUGCAAAUUUCUAAGCUAACUUAUAUUCCUUUGGGAUACAUUUAUGUUAGAUUAUGUUAUUUCUGAACUUUAAAAUAGGUCCCAUUCUCCAGGAAGGUCCUGAAAAUCAAAAAUCAAACCUAUUUGGUGACUGCCUUUCUCUACGAAGGGUUUCUCUGAAACAACCGAAAUUUCCUGCCCCUGUUUUAAUCAAAAGAAAAAUUUUGUCAGUUAAAAAUGUGGUGGUUGGUUUGUGGCCUUGAAUUUGAGAGCGAUUGCUCCUUCACUUCCCAUGAUAACUGAUUUCCACUCAAGGACCUUGAUUGUUUAUGGACUAACCACUUUCUCUGUCGUCCUUAUCGUAGAAAAUACCCCUUCUCCGUUCAGACCAAAUUCCCUCCAUCUGUUGCAUUGCUCAUGAACUGACAUUUACCAACCUUUGUGUUUUACCGAAAAUACCUUUGAUUCGUUCACCUAACACCCUCCAUCUUGUUGCAUUUCUCCUGAAUUGAUAUGUACCAAACCUUUGUAUUUCACAUGAAUCCCAAAUCACGUCAAUUACCAUCCACUCAAUGUGCAUGUUGUUCUUUCCUGACUUGACCCACUGGUAUUGGCCUUGAGGUCUAUUGCUCCUUCACUUGCCACGAUAACUUUGAUUUCUGCUUGGAAGACCUUGCUUGUCACUAGUUAAAAAUUUUCUUUGCUAAUCUCAUCACAGAGAAUACCUUUGACCCGUUCACCCAACAUCCUCUAUCUGUUGCACUGUUCACGAAUUGAAAUAUACCAAACCUUUGUAUUUCUUAUGGACCCCAAAGCAUGUUUAUUGUUACCAACUCAGUGCGCUUGUUGUUCUUUCCUGACUUAUGAUACUGGCCAGAUCCCGUUUUGUGCAAUUGGAAAGUUGGUGGCAAAUUUUGAAAUCAUUUCUCACUUAUUUUUACCAAACAGACUCGGGAAGAGGAAGUAAACAAGACAAAGGGAACAGAGUAAAGCACAAAGGAAAGAGAUGAUUCCUAACAAGAAAACUACAAAGUAGAAACAUAUCAGAUGUGGAUACCAACUCUAAUGACCAUGACAUAUACCUGUGGCCUAUUCUAUUGAGCAAGUAUGAUGUUCAACUCUUGUUAUACCCCCUAAACCGUGAAACUGGGCUUCAAUACUCUAAUUAUCCAAUCUGAUGCACAAUCCUUAUUCGACUUGUAGUGCCCGGAGAGUUUUCACCAUCAAGCCUCUCUCAUUUGUUCUUUCUCUCAACUUACCGUCGCCUUAUGGUGCCCGGGAGGGUUUUCACCAAUAAGACUCUCUCAUUUUCAACAUUUUUCUGCUUGAACCAGAGUGUUGCCCCUGACAUGAAUUACCUUUACCUGCUCGACUUGGCAUUUCUCAAAGACUUAUCAGAAGGUCUUCUUUGGACCGUAGCGCGGGCUUUUGGACUGGGUUAGAAAGAAAGGGUAUAAAAGGCUCAAUACAAUUCACAUGGGUUUAAAAUUACAACUUUCGGAAUCAGAUUUCUUACAACAACCAUAACUUCUGUCCCAGUUUCUUGCUUGGGGACUUUUGGAUUUUUAUUUUGAUAGGACCGAACCGUGAGGCUGCCUACGUAUCCUUAGAAGGAAUCAGGUUGAACGUAGUUCAUGUCAUAGGAAUUACUUUGUUUGUUGUGAUUUUUCUUUUCUUUUUCUUUUCUUUUUUUUUCUUUUUCUCUUUUUUUCUCUUUUCUUUACUUCUUUUCUCUUUUUUGUUGUUUUGUUUUUUUUUCUUUCUUAUUUUUCAUCUUUUUCUUUUUUUUCUUCAAUUUUCAUCUUUUCUUUUCUCUCUUUUCCUUUACUUAUCUUUCGCGCUUGUGUUUCUGAUCUUUGCUACUGAUUCCAAAAGAGGGGUACGAAAUGAAGUAAGUAAGGCUCAAAGGGGAUAACAAAGGAUAAAGUAUUUAGAUAGCAGAACAAAAUGCCUUCGUCAUUCCAAUCUUCAAAAUAUGCCAAGUACAAACAACACAAUUAAACAAACCAAGGAAAACAUUCGUAACAUCUUUUGAUUACGCCAGACUUGAUGAUCAUAUCCACACAUUCGUCUUUUACAUCUGUUAAUUACCAAGCCCCAGGGGAUAACACCCUCACUCUCAUUACCACGAACGGCUCCUGUCAAUUUGGGCAAACUUGCCUUUAGCUUCAAUCCGAUGCGGCAUGAUACAUUUCAAUAAGGUUUCUUUAUGUUCUAUCUGCCCCAGUUUCACAAUUCGGGCUUGAAGUGAUGUCAAGAUGCCUUUAUUAUUAUUUUUUCCUCAAAUGUCUCUAUCAUCUUCAAAAUCGUUUCAUUGCUUCAUGACUAAACUAACUUUUUAAGACCAGGCUGAGAAUUACGCGUGCAUGUCAUGUCACUAGAGUCAACAGGAAAAGGACUAUAAAAGGAAAAGAGAACUAAACAAAAAUGACUAAAAAUAAUAGAAAAUAGGAAAUUGCAUUAGACAGAUGGUAAAAGGGUUUGAACAACAAAACAAGCAAACUAAACUGGGUUACAACCCUGAAACAAACCUAGACAACACUAAACGAGUUACUACGAAAAAUAAACUAGGCAAAAUAAAAGGAUAGAAGGGUUUGAAUCACAAGACAAUAUCCGGAUUACAACCCUGAAAAUAACCUGGACAACAGAAAUGACAACAAAAUAAACCACCUAGACUCCUCUCCAGCUAGCCAAGAGAUGAAACGUCUUUCCAAUUACCAAGCACGGCAUCUUAGCCACUGGGUUCCACAUCAAUAUUACCAAAACCAUUAACAACUUUAAUAUCACUAACUUCAGUCCGCAAGUUCCCAGGAGGAUUCGCAUGCUCCCUGUCACUGUCAUUGAACACAAUUACCCCUUCUUGAAUCAUUCUUUCUAUUUCCCUUUUCAAAGAACGACAAUCUUCAAUGCUAUGCCCUUGGACAUUAGAGUGGUACAUGCAUCGUACAGUAGGAUCAAAGCCUUUUGCAUAUGGGUCUGGAGUAUAGCCGAGGAGCGGCUCAAUCAGGACAGAAUGCUUUAACUUUUCAAACAAGCUUGUGUAGGACUCCCCAAUUGGUGUGAAACUAUUUCUUUGCCUUUGUUCCCUUCCCUGCCCCUGUUUUCUAGGGUUGUUGGGUGCUCAAAAAUGUUGUGAAGGCAAGAAUGCAUUAUGCGGUGCUGGCGCUCUCCAUAGGGAGUGACCUGGUGGUUGGACAUAUGACCCGACAUUGUUCGGAGGAUAAUACUGAGGUGGAUUAUGUGUAGCUCGGGGACAGAUUUAGGGUUGGAGUUGAGGCUGGGUAUAUUGGUGAGUCGGGCCCUUUGGUCCAUGUCGUGACUCUGAAAAAACCAUGGCAACAUCAUCGUGUUCCUUCUGACCCAGCAAGCUUCCUAUGUCAUUCGGAACUUGUGUUGUUGCUUUUAAAGCAGAAUAGCUCAUGAUCUUGCUCGACUUCAACCCAUCUUCUACCAUUUCUCCCAUUUUACCACAUCAUUAAAAGGCCUACCCACAGCCGUGAUCAAAUGCCUAAAGUAAGUUGGCUCUUGAGCUUGGAGAAAGUACUCGACCAUCUCUUUUUCUUCCAUCGGGGGAUUGACUCUGGCAGCUUGCUCUCUCCAUCUGAGCCCGUAUUCCCUAAAGCUUUCAGUAGGCUUCUUUUCCAUCUUGGUGAGGGAGGAGCGACCUGGGGUAACUCCUGAUUUGUACUGAAAGUAUUGAACAAAAUCUUGAGCCAUGUCACCCAAUGUAGGCCACUUACCAACAUCUUGACGAAUAUACCAGUCUAAAGCUGCCCCAGUCAGGCUCUUACUGAAAUAUGUCAUCAACGGGUCAUCUUUCUCUCCAGUGCUUCUCAUUUCACUGCAAUAGACCCUCGAAUGGGAUACCGGAUCUCCACACCCAUCAUACAAGUUAAAUUUUGGCACUUUGAACCCCGCGAGCAGGCGAACGUCGGGGGACACAGACAGUUAUUUUUAAGUCAUGCUACCUUGGUCUUCCCUUACUUGUUUGUUUUUCAAGGAUUGUUCUAUGCCUUUCAGCCUCCUGGGUAUCCCAUCUUUCCCUUCUCUUCCUGUGAACCUUUCAUUUUCAACAUGCAACCUAUCCCGAGGGCUCUGUUUGUAUGAGUUGGGAACUUUGUGGGUAACCUCUGAGGGGUAAUAUUGGGCAUUGUGAUCUUUGAGUGGGUGUUCAUUGUUGGGGAUGGUGGAUAAGACAGGAGGGCAAUUUUUGGGAAAGGUAAUUGGAAGAUGAGUGACGGAGCUACUAGGGUGGUUGGGAAAACUAUGGUAAGCGGGUGAAUCUGGAGAGUAUGGGGGAUCAUCUGGCACUGUGACCGGUGUUUUGGUAAGGGUAGUAUUUAGGAAGCUAGGUGGUGGCGGGGGUGGUGCCUUCCCAGUCAUCCAGGCCUGAUACAUGUCCGACAUGUGUUGUAUUAACAUCCUCACCUCUUCAACCAACCCAUUGUCCUGUUCAACCAAUUGCUUUUGAGCUCCUGUAUCAACCAACUCAGUUUCAUUGUUGUCUGCCAUUGCCUUUGACUUUAUGUUGUAGAGAAGAGUUACCCUUUUAAAACCACAAACCAACCACCCUUCUGCUAUGAAUAUAACAAAAUGAAGCCAUCACGUUAGCGUUAGGGCAUUUAACAGCUAAAAAUAUCAUAUUUCGUGCCAUGCACCUAGCAAUAAUUAACGGUCCAAGAAUGACUUCGAGGGUCACAAGGUCACUUGGCAUCAUCCCAAUUUGUCCAUUUGAACAUUCUCCUUUCUUUUCUUUUCUCGCACUUCUUAGCUCGCUCAUUUUCUUUCUAUUUUUCUUUCUAAUUAUCGCUCUUUUUUCUUCUCAUUUCUCACAUCCCAUAAUUUCACCAUCUUUUCUUCUCUUUUUUUUUUCUUUUCCUUUUUCCUUUUUUUUUCUUUUAAUAAAUAAAAAAAUGAUUCGAUCGAACCCUAUGUAGGUUGUCUACGUAUCAUGACGCCGCAUGAAUCAGAUCUUUGCGUAGUUCGGGAAGAUUGGGAAUAAAGCAAACAAACUAUCGUUCUCUUUUUUUCUUUUUUUUUUUCUCUUUUUACCUCAGUGACUAAUCCGAUGAGAAAAGAGAAAUAAAAGAAGCAAAUCUUUUUUUUUGAAUUUUCUAGACUGAAUGCUCUAUAACCUAUUCUAAACUCAAGCUUAAUAAGCACAUACUUUUCUUUUUGAAACAAAUACUCUAUGGGAAAUUAUUAAGGAAAAUUCCUACAAGAGAAAAAAUAUUUUUUUUAUUUUUUUUCUUUUUUAAUAAGAAAAUCUAAAGGCUAGACCAAAGAAAAAUAUUUUGAAUUUUCACUUGAUAUCCUAAAGAAAAGACUUCGAAAUAAGAAAUGAAAAAGAUAAAAAAAAAAAUUAUUUUUGGAUUUGAAUUUUUGAUUACCUAAGGAAGAAACUCUGAAAAUAAACCAAAGAAAAAGUAUUGUUGUUAUCUUUUUCUUAUAUGUACAAUAUCCUAAAGUUCUAAUAAAAAUAAAAGAAUUAUUUUCAAGUUAUUUUUCAUCAACUUCCCAAAGAAAAACCUCAACAGAAAAUCUUUUUGAAUUUUGGAAUUAACACCUUAAAGAAAGCUUUUAAAGAAGCACUAAAAUAAAAUUCUCUCCCUCUUUUUUUGAAUUUUGAUCCUAAUAUACUAAAGGAAACAUAAAAAUAAUUCAUUUUAAGUUCUAGAUAUUAAUUGCCUAAAGGAGAAACAACCUCAAAUUUUUUCCAAUUCUAGAAUUAGUAAUCUAAAUAAAAUUUAUAACGGAAAUAUAAAAUGCAACAUCUCUCUUCUUUUUUUUUGCUUUUUUUUUUGGAUUUUUGACUUGUAACACAUUUCCAAAUACAAUAACAAAACACUCGGCAAAUUUAACUAGACUAUUACAAACUCAAAAAUUAACUAAAUGAUUGAAUAAUACUGUACAGGACUAGAAAGUAAAACAUGAACAAAAGACUUUAAAACAUAAACAACUCCUCAGGCAACUCCCGAAUGCAGUGAUCCUGGGGUAUCUGUCAUGUUCAAACUCCGGUAAAUAAAUCCACACCUGUAUGAGAAAAUUAAAACCAAAUAGGUUAAAGGCCUAGAACGCUAUGUGAGACAAAACCCCUUCAUGUUGGAAACAUGCAAGACAUGAUUUAGACAAUUUUUGCAAAAUGGCUUAUUUGGCCAAAAAAUGGCUAGAAGUGCAAAAUUUGGCUAAGACCCCGCAAAGCCAAGAAUCUAAGAUUUACUAGGAAGACCGGACCCUAUGUGGGUUGCCUACGUAUCACGCCCCGAAAGACGAGAAUCAGGUAUGCGUAGUUCGGGCCGAUUGGAUACGGGUGAGAAUUAAAAAAAACAACUAAUUUAGAGAAAACAGAUUUUUUGCUUUUUCUUGAAAAAUGAUGAAACAUGCAAAAUCAUUUUUUUUGGAUUUUCUUUUUCCCCUUUUUUUUGAUUUUCUGAUUUCUGACAAAUGAUGAAAAAGUACAAAAUCUUUUUUUGAAUUUUUCAUGUUUUUUUUUCUUAACAAAAAUAUGACAGAAAAUAUAAUCGGGCCCUACUUGCUUUAUUUUCACACUUCACCCUCUCUUUUUCUUUCUCUUUUUUUUUUCUUUUGUAUUUCUUUUUUCAUUGUUUUUUUUCAUUUCUUCAUUUACCCUCGGCUAUCAUUGGUCCGCCAAAUGACCCCUUUACCCUUGAAUAAAUGCAACAUGUAGCACAUAAGAUGCAUCAGAAUGGUCUUUUAUUUUUUGGGGUAUACCUGUCCUAGACGGACCCAACCCCUGUGUUGAGUCCCCUAAGUCAAGUACACAUGAUGCAAACAAGCGUUCCUACUAGGGAUCCGACAUGAGGCUGUCUUUUUCUAGAUUUAAAUCCUGGGGUGGUGUUCUAGACUUGGGUACCCGAGCGGACAAUUGGGGCCGAAGAGGGGGCGACGUACCGGGAGCACUGAAGUCUACCCGGCCUUGUCGCUUGCCCAGCCUCGUUCUAUUUGGUAUAAUUUUUACAGAAAAAGUGGGUCACGCGAACGUGUGCACCAUUUUCAGAAGACUUAGAGGGGUGGCAUAAGAAGACAGUUAUAUACAAUUCAAACAGUAUUAAAGCGGUAAACAGAUAGCAUUUAGCACAAAAGGUUCACAGAAUACAGUAAUAUCAACAAUAAAUAAAGCCAAGCAAAAUCAUAUUAACAAGCUCGAAUUCUGAACCCCGAACCAGAGAUUCUAGGUUCGUCUCCCCAGCAGAGUCGCCAGAGCUAUCACACCUCCUUUUGCUUACCCUCCCCCGGAAGAGUGUAUAUAAGGGAGUUUUUCCAAUUAAAGGAAAAUCGAAAUGAGAUUUAUUUAUUUAAAGAUUCAGAGUCGCCACUUGGGAGAUUUAUGGUGUCCCAAGUCACCGGUUCAAAUCCCGAAUCGAGGAAAAAGAUUGACUCUGUUUAACAGUCCGCGAACCAGAAAUCCGAGUAAGGAAUUCUGUUAACCCGGGAGAAGGUGUUAGGCAUUCCCGAGUUCCGUGGUUCUAGCACAGUCGCUUUGAUUAUACUUGGCUUACUAAAUUAUCUAAUUACUUAUUUUUAAACCUAUGUGCAUCUACCCCGUUAACCGCUUUUAUUUGUUUAAUUACUAUUAAUUAUGGAAUUAUUUUUAAAAAAUGAGUCACGCGCGUGUACUCAUUUCAUUUGGCGCGUCAAAAUCGUGUCACGCAUAUGUAUCCACAAUUAAUCACGUCUUAUAUUAAUAAGAUUGUUUCACCCAAAAUUGCGUGAACGCAUACCUUGGUUUUAAUUUCUGGAAUCGUAACUAUGUCACGCGAACGUGUACACAACCACGAUAAUUUAUUAAUUAGAUUAGUGCCUAUAGCAUACUACCGUGCUCUUCAGCACAUUAGGUUAUUUAUGAGUGUUUAACCCACUUUUAGUGAGAAAACUAGCUACAUGGCAACUGCAACUUAGGAAUAUACUCAUAUGAGCCUUACAAGAAUGUGGUCAACUCUUUUAAAACUUCAAGCAUGAAAAAUCAGUACCAAUAUCCACAUUAACUUCACCUUAAUUUAACACUUAAACUAGAUAUCACUCUGCCUCAGAUCAAUCAUCGCAAGGCAUAUGUUUGUAAAGCAUAACGUAGUUACACAUACAAGCACAUUAAAGUCUACAAUUAUUCAACAGAUGAAAGUAAAAGGCAAAUUCAUAAACAACAACCUAUAUUAGUAAAAAUAGUUAUUGGAGUAACGUUCAUGUGUGUAUCAAAGUUCUAACAACUCAAUAUAAGGAAGCAAAUAGCUAACAUUUCCUCAACAAAAACCCAAUUUUUUGGUUUGCAAAACUCAAAAAAAAAUGUGUAGUAGAUAAAACUGGUCAUUUACAAAGUAGCACGUACCCUUUUUCUUUUCUUGGAGGGCAUGAUAGCAAAAUUGACUCUACUGCUUCAGUAAUUAGUAUUUUUCAGCAAAAUACAAAAACAACGAGAUUCUAGCAAGGACCACGAACGCGAUUUUGACCGGAGAACCUCCGACAACAUACUCGACGAUAACCUCGACGGACCUGACACGACGGCCUGAACAGAUUCACUCGACAUGGAUUUGGGUAGCAAUUUCGAGCUGACUUUCGCACUGAUUUGAGUUAGUUUCAGGGAGUUUUGGAGCUAGGUUUACCACUGGGUUCAAACCCGGUUCGCCGGAUUCUCUGGAAAGUCGUUGGAAUCACACAUUUCCGGUCAGAUUUGGUUCCAUCUGUAUGUGCGCCCUACUGUUUCUCGGUAGCAAAACGGGGAAGGGUCGUGGGUUGAUUUUUCUGGUUUUCAAUCGGAGGAGAGGAAGCAGCAAUGAUGGGUUCUUCGGCGUAGGGCUUUGGUCGUUUGGAGAAGACGAUGGGCAGGGGGGUCUCUUGUAAAGGCUGC